This 267-nucleotide ribosomal RNA is filed under the name uncultured Dialister sp. RNAcentral describes it as "partial 16S ribosomal RNA". It matches the Rfam family "Bacterial small subunit ribosomal RNA", at positions 89 to 339 of the family's 1533-position model. Lineage: Bacteria; Bacillati; Bacillota; Negativicutes; Veillonellales; Veillonellaceae. The record is from RNAcentral.
AAUUGAGUGGCAAACGGGUGAGUAACACGUAAACAACCUGCCUUCAGGAUGGGGACAACAGACGGAAACGACUGCUAAUACCGCAUGACAUAUAGAUGUCGCAUGGCCCAUGGAAGAAAAGGUGGCCUCUACCUGUAAGCUAUCGCCUGAAGAGGGGUUUGCGUCUGAUUAGCUGGUUGGAGGGGUAACGGCCCACCAAGGCGACGAUCAGUAGCCGGUCUGAGAGGAUGAACGGCCACACUGGAACUGAGACACGGUCCAGACUCC